UGCAAAUGGAAAGAAGAACCUCUUUCCCUUCCAAAUUGAUAUUAUUAGUUUUUUUGGGGGGGAGGGUCUAUUCACAUCUUUAUUCUUGUCUGUGUUCUGUGGGCCAUUGCAAGUCAAUGCCAAAGCAACUGGUGGGUUGUUUCAUGAAGACCACACAGGUGAGGCUUUUUGUCUUUUUAGAUUCAUCUGGGAACAACUGAUGCCUCUAAGGAAGAUGGAGAAUAAGAAAGGCUGGACUUUUCUCCUUGUUGGUCUUCAUAACUUCCUCCCUGACCCAUAGAACAGAGAAUGGAGUUGAGUGGCAAGAUGCACUAACCCCCCAACCUAGGGUUGGAAGAGUCUGCCCCACACUGGCCCUCACCUCUCCAGAGCUUAUUCCCUCAGCAAAGCAAUAUAUGUCCCAUCUAAAAAUCACUUCACCCCUGUAUGGCCAACAUGCUUCCACUUUAGAUGUAUCAAGGUCUAUUCUGACAUCUCUCUGUAGAGAAUAGAAAAGUAGGAGCUAAGUACUGGCAGAAACAGAAAAUGUCAGCACUUGCUAAAAGUUACAUUUUCCAGAAAACUCCCAACUACAGCAGAAAAGCAGUAUUUUUAGGAGCCCCUCAAUGGUACCUACUUGGAACAUGCCCAGGCUGAAGAAGAGGAAAUCAGGAGUUGGAGAAAAGAGCCAUUAAGAAUUGUCUAAUACUAAAUGCUGUUGGUAAGUGGAACCGCAUUUUGUGUAUCUCUUGGCAUUUAGGAAAAAUUGACCAUAAUUUACCCUGGACAGAAAGAUUCAGGGACCUUUAAUCAUUCAUAAUUAUCCUUAUAGUCAGCAAAAUUUUUCAACAGCUUCAGUUUUCAUUGCUCUCUUCUUAUUUUGUUUGGACCAUGAAGCAGCUGAAAAGACUGCCUUCCAUAUUGUUUUGGGAAGUAGUCUUGCAGGGGCUUAAACCUGGUGACUUCAGUGUUCCUUUCCCAACUGUGAAUCAUGAUGAACUUUCUCAAACUGGGCUGUGUCUUAAAAGAAGCUUGGAUGGGAAGAAUGUCUAGGACAUGGACAUGUGCUCUGACAUCAAGAAAAGGAAGACAUCACAGCACCCAAGAGAGUGUGAAUUGUAGGAUAAUAAUUGUCUAUUUUAAAAAGAACAAUAGGGGAGAAAAUUGGAAGAUGUAUACCCAAAUUUUACCUAUGAUGAUAUGAUCCUGAUUUCAUCCCUUAAUUUACCAGGAGUCCAAAUGCAUCUCUUUUGCAGAGGGUGUUUCUGUUGGCAGUGAGAUUGGGUUGUAUCCCUCAUACAUCUUGUCAACAUCCCUCCAUUGUCUGUUUUUUAGAUUUAAAAAAACUUGAUGGGAAUCACACUGCUUUUUUUCUGAAUAGAAGAUUUAUGGGAGAUUUUUCUGAGUCAGAAAAAUCAGAUUACCUCUAAUUUUUCUGCACACACAGACACAUGUAUGCACAUACACUCCCUUCUGUACCAAGGUGCUGAGUGGAGCCUCUUGAGAGGGAGGGAGUGUGGACAAAGGCAUUGUUUAAGGCCAGCCAGCUGGCCUCAACCCUCUCCCUAACCACUUGAGAUGGUGGGGACUCAGUGGUUGCUGAGUCGGACGUGGGAGAAUUGCAGAAUCCACUGGUGAAUUGCUCCUUUGUUCUCCUCCUAAUCUUCUAAUCC
This is a long non-coding RNA of Heterocephalus glaber (naked mole-rat), 1652 nucleotides long. Lineage: Eukaryota; Metazoa; Chordata; Mammalia; Rodentia; Bathyergidae. The record is from Ensembl.